Long non-coding RNA from Ictalurus punctatus (channel catfish), 1564 nucleotides. The record is from Ensembl. Lineage: Eukaryota; Metazoa; Chordata; Actinopteri; Siluriformes; Ictaluridae.
CUGAGGAGAUUUGUGUUGUUUUCCCCCCUCAGCAGACACCUGGAGAGGGGUUCGGGUCCCGCAAAACCAGAAACGGAAACUUAAUCGGUUCUCUGUCACCGAAAAGACGGGAAUUAGUCACUUUUGUGUUUGUGAAGAACACACCACCGAGCAGCGACAGAAAAACCCCAACUCCCGGCUUUCACUCGUCUCUCGAGUAGUUUUUCUUUUAUAUGUGUGUAUAUCUUUGUACCGAGCAAAACACACGUUUUCAGACGUUUCCGCCAUUUUCAAAAGUGGACUUGUGUCACGGGUAGUGUUUCCACGUCGUCGGUUGUGUUCGUGGGGGAAAGUUAACGCGUUGUUAAACGGCGGUUUUAACGUCAGAACUCCGGGUUAGUUUGGAAGGAACCGCGCGUGAGGGAGUUCUGGAUUUUACCGGAUCUUAACGGAAUCUUGGAGAACUUUGGGCUACACAGACUUGUAGAGGAACGCACACACACACACACACACACACACACGGAGUCGACUUCAUAGCGUUUCUUUCUACUGAGGCAACAACAACAACAUUGUCAGGUUUUUUUUUUUUCACCUCACAGCAAAAUGAGCCGUUAUUUUGUCCGGCUUUACACGGACUAGCUAAGCUAACCUUCCCCCGCUUUAGUUGUUUAUUUUUUCCCCCCUUCUUUUUUCUUUCUCUCAGCUAAUUAUUUGUCUUCCUCAGCUGUGCCUCAGGGGUGACGAGGCCCCUCGGGGAGCUGCUUGCGGUGUCAAAUCUCUGCUCGUGCUAACGCAUAGCCGCGCGCGCGGGCACGGAGACGCGCGUGGUACGCGGCGCGUGAGCACUCUCCUGAAGAAGACGCGCUGUGAAAGAGAGAGAGAGAGAGGCGCGCGGCGGUAUCAGGAGCUGGAUACCUGUUAACUUUUCUGUCUGCGUGCGUGCGUGCGCGUGUGUGUAUGUGUGGUUGAGAGUGUGUGGCUCGUAGCCGCGGGAAGAGCUUCGUGGUCACUGUUCGGCAUUCCGUAAUGGACGCGAAAGCCUUCGGUCAAGUUUUUCACCGUCCUGUUCUUGCGGUAUCUUGCACAGGCUCGGAUACCGGACUGUAACCGAGUCGCAACCGGAAUAUCUCGGAGGCGAACAGCGUUCAUUUAUCGCCAAGCGGAUUUAUACAGGACAAGUACGAUGUCAUUUGCACGGGUCUGCUUGGGAGCUCUGCUGCUGUGGACGAUUGUUUCUGAUGGUAAGCCAACUCGAAUAAUCUCAAAGUUGUCAUAUGAUAUAUGUGUGUGUAGAUGAUGGAGGUGGAAAAAGUGCAAGUGUCUUUUAAUCGAACGUUUUCCAAUAUGGAGGUGUGAUAUUACCCACUGGAGGCUUCAGUUCCAGUGCGGUAGUCGCGUGGAGAGAUCGGCUGACAGUGUUUGUGCUUGUCAGAUCAUUUGAAUCUCCUAUUCUCCUCUUUCUUCUUUAAAGCCGGUCCGGUAAUAAUUCCGAUAAGCCGAUAUUUCAUCCCGUUCUCUAAAGAAGGAUGCUCACUAACACACCAGCACCACGGCGUUACCGCUGCAGUCUGUCGAGCCUUUUCAC